GCAGCACAAGGAACACCGGUAAACCUUUUGAAGCAAUCAAAUCGUCUCCCUCCUCUUUCGAAGGUCUAUAGCAUCAGAUCGAAAUAGAAAAUGUGUAUUGAAUUUUGGAGAGUCAUGGACAUCAGAAUCCAAACAAAUCAAAUGAGGACAAAAAAUUUAACAAAAUUCAAUCAUCUUCAACGCAACCUAUCUCGGUGAUCGAAAAAUUGUACAACAGCCAGUUGACAAUGUCUUGGAGGUUUAGAGGAAUUCCUAUUCAACGUCUCACUGAACGCCGAUUACAACAUACCGCCGGCUAUCUCUGAUUCUCCGGUCACCUUUGAUCAAGUUAACUCCAACGCCACAUGUUCGACAACAAUAAAGAUAAGAUUUAGAACGAUUUUGUGUGCGACUUUGGGAUUUAAAUUCGCUGGUCUUUCACUAUGUUCCCCCCCCCCCCCCCCCUUGUUAAAUGAAACUCGGGAACAUGCUUUUUCAUAUUUUCAUCCUUUUCUCUCCUCUCCCCUUGUUAAAUAACACUCUGGGAACAAAUUUAUCAGGGCCGUCUCCGUAAAGGUUAAAAUUUUUAUUGGCCCUGUGCGAGUUAAAAUAAACGGGCCCUACCCGCCCUAGUAAAACAAGAAUUUAGGGUUGUUGUUGCGUCACUCAAUAAUUCGAUCAGAUCUUUUGCAAAAUCUCACGUAAUUGCUAUUGUUGUUGCCUCAGUGAGUCUUGCGUCGCUGGGUUUUUUGUAGCUCCCCAUGAGGUUUAUUUUUAUUGGGAUUGAAUGUUUAAAUAUUUGGCCCUGUGGGUUCGGUCUAAUUGUUUAAAAAUAUUGGCACUCAAAAUCUGAAUCAAAUUUGAGCCACUUAAACAGAUUGGGCCGAUUGGCACCCAAAAACUCAAGCAAACUUCGGCCAGUUGAAGUGCUAAAGAGAUUGGCGAGGGCCUACUUUGGGUUUACUUUGGACCGGAUUGAUUCGGGUAUCGUAAUGGACUAAACCAAAUUGGGUGAGCUUCUAAUAAAACUUAUAUUGAAAAGCAGAGAAACGUAAGCGUGUUGUAACGCUAAAUUUAGAAAUUUGUAAAACAUUAUACAUACAUUAAUACCAUAUUACAAGUACUAUAACGAACCAAAAAUAUUAACGUCAUUUUUGAAUAAUUUGUAAAAAAAUAUUUUAG
This 1161-nucleotide long non-coding RNA is filed under the name Helianthus annuus (common sunflower). Its description in RNAcentral is "hypothetical non coding rna". Lineage: Eukaryota; Viridiplantae; Streptophyta; Magnoliopsida; Asterales; Asteraceae. The record is from RNAcentral.